GAACGCACGUGCUGCUGAAAAUUGGGUUUAAUUGUAUGCUCGCGUUGUAUAUCGUAAUAGUGAGAAAAAUUGUGCUUUCAGUGAUUUGGUAUUCAGACUGGUAUUCGUAAAAUUAACAUUCAAUUGAGGUACUAAAGUGUAGUGCAAUUUGUGAUACAAUGUAUAGUGCAGUGAUGAGAGUGUAGUGUUAUAAUUAGCAAUGGAGGCGACAACUCUGCCCCUGGAGGCGGACGACGAGGGCAGGCCGCAGCAGGCCUCGUCCACCGGCAGCGGCUCUUCGUCUGGCGCUGGCUACUAUGGACACAAGAAUGGUGAAUGGCGCGGCGAAAGAAGAAUGCUGGACAUCACACGCGACAAGCCGGUGAAGGUGUGCGUGCGUGUGGUCGUGCCCGUCAGAGACCAUCCCAAAUUUAACUUUGUCGGGAAGCUUCUCGGGCCGAAAGGGAAUUCGCUGAAGCGUCUACAAGAAGAUACGAUGUGUAAAAUGGCUGUGCUAGGCCGAGGAUCUAUGAAGGAUAGACAGAAGGAAGAAGAACUGCGUAUGUCAGGUGACCCAAAGUUCUCUCACCUGUCGGAGGAGCUGCACGUGGAGAUCAGCGCGUUCGCGACGCCCGCUGAGGCGCACGCGCGCAUCGCCUACGCGCUCGCCGAGCUCAGGAGAUUCCUAGUGCCAGAUUACAACGACGACAUUCGACAAGAACAAAUGCUGGAGAUGCAGAUACUAUCCUCACAAAAUGAACAGCGAAGACUUACUCCACCAGAAUCUUCGAGAAGUAACAGCGAGGAAACUUUGCCAAUACGGGACACAGUGAAACAACGGGUACAAGUGGCCCCAGUAUCCCAGCCCUCACUAGCGAGUGCCCCCGUGCUGCCGGUGCACGCUCCGAGCGCGCGCGACUACUCGCCGCCCGCGCCCACCCCCGCCCCUGAACAUCUACCGCACCAUCAGUUAACAAGCCCAGCUGGUCACGGCUUGCUAGUUGGAGGUGGUAUACUUCAACAAGCACCAACACAACAUCUACUCACACACAAUUCUAUACUAGGUGGCGGCGAUAUACUGGGGCUGAGCAGCCCCGUGCUGGGCGGCGUGCUGCACGCGCACCCCGCGCUGCGCGGCGUCAAGCCGGCCGCCGUGCACCUCGCCUCGCAAGGUCGGUGUUGGGUCGGGUGGGGGCACCCGCAAGCGGCCGCUGCUGGGCGGCGCGCGGGGCGCCAUCUCGCCGACUAAGCGCGCCGUGCUGUCGCUGCUCGCGCGCGCGCGCGCCGCCACGCACAAGCACGCGCACGAACACCCGGCUCUACUUCCACUGAUACGCGACGAGUUUGUGACAGGCGUCGGUGUUAAUAUCAAUUUAGCGUAAUAUUUAUAUGAAUAAAUAAACUUUAGUAAUAAAUUAUACACGCUGUUUCAAUAGAGUACAUGGACUUCUUGUAAAAGUUUUUGCUUUUCUGUUUUUAGUUAUAAGGAUAUAUGAACUGUUUUUAGGUUAACCCAAUUUCUUAGUCUUUUUUUUUUGGGAAAUAUCAAAAAAUACAAUGACAAUUUCUUGCUGUCAAGGGUGUGAAUAAAUUUGAAAAUUUAAUUUAUAUGAAUUGAACAAAAAGUUAUACACAAAAAGUUUUAUAUAUAUGUACUUACGAAGUUUUCGGGCUUUUUCUACAAUUUGAUAUACCAACCUACAAGACAAAUUGAUAAUGACCUUUAUUUCUAGUACUAAAUACUUAUUAUAAACAACCACCAGCAUCUUUAUUUUAUUAUAUUCUAGCCUUAGUAGCGCAUUUAGAUCAAAAUUAUUAUGUGCCGUCAAUUUAAAUGAACCCCAUUUAAGGCCUAAUUAGAAAAAAAGGACCAUAUGUAAAUAAUUUUCCCUCGCCUUCUAGUUGUAAAUAAUUAUAUUAAUAUAAAUGAAUAUAGAAUAUGUAUUUAUGACGUUAAGAGUUUAAUAUACUGGAUCGAACUUAAUCUUGAUACAAGAUGACUGAUUGAACGAAAAACACACGUUAAAGAUUCAAAUUCAUAAAAAAAUAAAAAUAAAAUAUUUUUAUUCAACAAACAAAGAAAUGCAAUUUGUAACUAGAGAUUAUUACAAAAUGAGUGACAUAAUAAAAUUUUCAACAAAAUCUCUCUUUUACUUAUAUUUUCGUUCAUACAGUAAAUAAAAAUAAAUUUUAAUAGAUCACUUAAAUACAUCUAUAUCAAGCACAAAAUUAUAAAAAAUACACAAUCAUUAGUAAUAAUUAAAUUUUAAGGCCUAUUCAAACUACAGCGGUAUCCGCUACCGCUGUGGGUAGCGAUAUACCGAUGGCACGCGAUUAGGGUCUCUAUAUGUAGUAAAUACUUCGUAAGAGAUACAAUCGC
RNA transcript from Colias croceus (clouded yellow), 2359 nucleotides. It is a transcript of the gene named KH domain-containing, RNA-binding, signal transduction-associated protein 2-like, with no coding region annotated. The record is from RefSeq and is a predicted model, not a curated record. Lineage: Eukaryota; Metazoa; Arthropoda; Insecta; Lepidoptera; Pieridae. The transcript has 11 exons.